RNAcentral lists this ribosomal RNA (486 nucleotides) under uncultured bacterium. RNAcentral describes it as "bacterial SSU rRNA". It matches the Rfam family "Bacterial small subunit ribosomal RNA", at positions 21 to 507 of the family's 1533-position model. The record is from RNAcentral.
GGCUCAGGAUGAACGCUGGCGGCGUGCUUAACACAUGCAAGUCGAACGAGGAUUUAACGGAAUGCGAUUCGUCAAAUGAAAUUAAAUCCGAGUGGCGGACGGGUGAGUAACGCGUGGAUAACCUGCCUCACACAGGGGGACAACAGUUGGAAACGACUGCUAAUACCGCAUAACACAAGUAAUUCGCAUGAAUAACUUGCCAAAGAUUAUAUCGGUGUGAGAUGGAUCCGCGUCUGAUUAGCCAGUUGGCGGGGUAACGGCCCACCAAAGCGACGAUCAGUAGCCGACCUGAGAGGGUGACCGGCCACAUUGGGACUGAGACACGGCCCAAACUCCUACGGGAGGCAGCAGUGGGGAAUAUUGCACAAUGGGCGCAAGCCUGAUGCAGCGACGCCGCGUGAAGGAUGAAGUAUUUCGGUAUGUAAACUUCUAUCAGCAGGGAAGAAAAUGACGGUACCUGACUAAGAAGCCCCGGCUAACUACGUG